This 429-nucleotide ribosomal RNA is filed under the name Acidobacteriota bacterium. RNAcentral's name for it is "Acidobacteria bacterium partial 16S ribosomal RNA". It matches the Rfam family "Bacterial small subunit ribosomal RNA", at positions 355 to 776 of the family's 1533-position model. The record is from RNAcentral. Lineage: Bacteria; Pseudomonadati; Acidobacteriota.
UGGGGAAUUUUGGACAAUGGGGGAAACCCUGAUCCAGCCAUCCCGCGUGUGCGAUGAAGGCCUUCGGGUUGUAAAGCACUUUUGGCAGGAAAGAAACGUCAUGGGAUAAUACCCCGUGAAACUGACGGUACCUGCAGAAUAAGCACCGGCUAACUACGUGCCAGCAGCCGCGGUAAUACGUAGGGUGCAAGCGUUAAUCGGAAUUACUGGGCGUAAAGCGUGCGCAGGCGGUUCGGAAAGAAAGAUGUGAAAUCCCAGAGCUCAACUUUGGAACUGCAUUUUUAACUACCGGGCUAGAGUGUGUCAGAGGGAGGUGGAAUUCCGCGUGUAGCAGUGAAAUGCGUAGAUAUGCGGAGGAACACCGAUGGCGAAGGCAGCCUCCUGGGAUAACACUGACGCUCAUGCACGAAAGCGUGGGGAGCAAACAGG